AUUGAACGCUGGCGGCAGGCCUAACACAUGCAAGUCGAGCGGAUGAAGGGAGCUUGCUCCUGGAUUCAGCGGCGGACGGGUGAGUAAUGCCUAGGAAUCUGCCUGGUAGUGGGGGAUAAUGUCCGGAAACGGGCGCUAAUACCGCAUACGUCCUGAGGGAGAAAGUGGGGGAUCUUCGGACCUCACGCUAUCAGAUGAGCCUAGGCCGGAUUAGCUAGUUGGUGGGGUAAAGGCCUACCAAGGCGACGAUCCGUAACUGGUCUGAGAGGAUGAUCAGUCACACUGGAACUGAGACACGGUCCAGACUACUACGGGAGGCAGCAGUGGGGAAUAUUGGACAAUGGGCGAAAGCCUGAUCCAGCCAUGCCGCGUGUGUGAAGAAGGUCUUCGGAUUGUAAAGCACUUUAAGUUGGGAGGAAGGGCAGUAAGUUAAUACCUUGCUGUUUUGACGUUACCAACAGAAUAAGCACCGGCUAACUUCGUG
Molecule: ribosomal RNA, 484 nt
Filed under: uncultured bacterium
Lineage: Bacteria
Description: partial 16S ribosomal RNA
Rfam family: Bacterial small subunit ribosomal RNA
Source: RNAcentral